This is a long non-coding RNA of Carassius auratus (goldfish), 499 nucleotides long. RefSeq lists it as uncharacterized. Lineage: Eukaryota; Metazoa; Chordata; Actinopteri; Cypriniformes; Cyprinidae. The transcript is spliced from 3 exons. The record is from RefSeq and is a predicted model, not a curated record.
CUGAGCUGAGCGUCUGACGCGCUCCAGAUGACGCUCCGCGGCGCGUUACACACGCGGAACUUCACACAUUCAGGAAGCACACAAGGUCAACAUCAAACAUUAAAGUCAAAAACACAUUGUCUUCUGUCAGAAUCGUAUCUUUGGGCUCAGAUGACACACAAAGCAGAACAGUAGUGAGAUCUGCUUCUGGGAUACAGCACCACAGAGAUACAGUAAUAUUCACCAUAAACUCUGCUGUCACUAAACUACUGUAAAGUGAUCUUACAGAAGAAGAAGAGCACUAGAAGAGAAGAGUUCAAAACCACACAACAGACUAUACAGUAAACACAGUCAGUCAGUUACUGUAAAUACAGUAAUACAGCAUCCUCUGCUGAGUUACGGUAUUUCCAGCUGCUCACACAGAAUCUUCACUUGUCACACAGUUCCUGGAUUUGUGUGAGUUUUGAAUAAAAGAUGUAGAGUGCGAUCAUCUGAAAUAAAGCUGAGAUGUUCUCAGACG